GAAAAUAGAGGACGGAACGGGCAGCCGUCGCCCCCGAAAGGGAUAGGAGAUGUGGGAAAUGUCACCCCACCUAUUUUU
Molecule: non-coding RNA, 78 nt
Submitted as: unclassified sequences
Source: Rfam